UGGGGAAUAUUGGGCAAUGGAGGCAACUCUGACCCAGCAACGCCGCGUGAAUGAUGAAGGUCUUCGGAUUGUAAAGUUCUGCGAUGGGGGACGAAGAAAGUGACGGUACCCCAAUAGCAAGCUACGGCUAACUACGUGCCAGCAGCCGCGGUAAUACGUAAGUAGCAAGCGUUGUCCGGAAUGACUGGGCGUAAAGGGUGCGUAGGUGGUUUAACAAGUUGGUAGUGAAAUUCCGAGGCUUAACUUCGGCGCUACUGCCAAGACUGUUGAACUUGAGUACAGGAGAGGUAAGUGGAAUUCCUAGUGUAGCGGUGGAAUGCGUAGAUAUUAGGAGGAACACCAGUGGCGAAGGCGACUUACUGGCCUGCAACUGACACUGAGGCACGAAAGCGUGGGGAGCAAACAGGAUUAGAUACCCUGGUAGU
This 425-nucleotide ribosomal RNA is filed under the name uncultured bacterium. RNAcentral's name for it is "bacterial SSU rRNA". It matches the Rfam family "Bacterial small subunit ribosomal RNA", at positions 355 to 794 of the family's 1533-position model. The record is from RNAcentral.